GUGGGGAAUAUUGGACAAUGGGGGGAACCCUGAUCCAGCCAUGCCGCGUGUGUGAAGAAGGCCUUUUGGUUGUAAAGCACUUUAAGCGAGGAGGAGGCUACCGAGAUUAAUACUCUUGGAUAGUGGACGUUACUCGCAGAAUAAGCACCGGCUAACUCUGUGCCAGCAGCCGCGGUAAUACAGAGGGUGCAAGCGUUAAUCGGAUUUACUGGGCGUAAAGCGCGCGUAGGUGGCCAAUUAAGUCAAAUGUGAAAUCCCCGAGCUUAACUUGGGAAUUGCAUUCGAGACUGGUUGGCUAGAGGAUGGGAGAGGAUGGUAGAAUUCCAGGUGUAGCGGUGAAAUGCGUAGAGAUCUGGAGGAAUACCGAUGGCGAAGGCAGCCAUCUGGCCUAAUACUGACACUGAGGUGCGAAAGCAUGGGGAGCAAACAGGAUUAGAAACCCCGGUAGUCC
RNAcentral lists this ribosomal RNA (451 nucleotides) under uncultured bacterium. RNAcentral's name for it is "bacterial SSU rRNA". It matches the Rfam family "Bacterial small subunit ribosomal RNA", at positions 354 to 796 of the family's 1533-position model. The record is from RNAcentral.